This is a non-coding RNA of Biomphalaria pfeifferi, 515 nucleotides long. Lineage: Eukaryota; Metazoa; Mollusca; Gastropoda; Planorbidae. The record is from the annotation of a GenBank genome assembly.
UACCUCUAUUUGAUUUAUAUGUUUGUUAGUAUUUCUUAUAUUACAUAAGUAGAAUCAUUCUAAUUGAAGGUUAUUUUCAGACUUCCACACAGACCUGAAACUACCUCGUAGAUUUGUCACAUAUUUUAAAACGUUUUGUCCAAUACCUCGAAUCAAAAGAAUAUCUUUGGAACUAUACAAAAUUGCAGAGAACAAUGGUAUUCUUAGAUAUAGAUAUAUAUAGGCUUAUUGUACAAUGCAGUAUCAAAAGUCAUUUUUGUUUCGAGUACAAAGUUAUAUCUAGUUGUGAGUUGUCGUAUUUGUCAUUUAAUGAACAUAAAUCUAUUUAUAUUUCCUAACAAUCAAUUUCAAUCAUUUACUUCAAUUAAAAAUAUUUCAGGAUUAAAAAAUAAUAAUUUUAGCUUAAUGUUAGAAGCUGUUUUUUUUAAAUUUAUUUCAUAAUUAUUUUUUUUGUUUUCAUAAUGUUUUUUUUCUGUCGUAUGCUUACUAGUCACGUGUGCUUGCAGACUACCGAG